RNAcentral lists this ribosomal RNA (467 nucleotides) under uncultured bacterium. Its description in RNAcentral is "partial 16S ribosomal RNA". It matches the Rfam family "Bacterial small subunit ribosomal RNA", at positions 28 to 507 of the family's 1533-position model. The record is from RNAcentral.
GACGAACGCUGGCGGCGUGCUUAACACAUGCAAGUCGAACGGAAAGGCCCUGCUUUUGUGGGGUGCUCGAGUGGCGAACGGGUGAGUAACACGUGAGUAACCUGCCCUUGACUUUGGGAUAACUUCAGGAAACUGGGGCUAAUACCGGAUAGGAGCUCCUGCUGCAUGGUGGGGGUUGGAAAGUUUCGGCGGUUGGGGAUGGACUCGAGGCUUAUCAGCUUGGUGGUGGGUAGUGGCUUACCAAGGCUUUGACGGGUAGCCGGCCUGGGAGGGUGACCGGCCACAUUGGGACUGAGAUACGGCCCAGACUCCUACGGGAGGCAGCAGGGGGGAAUAUUGCACAAUGGGCGGAAGCCUGAUGCAGCAACGCCGCGUGCGGGAUGACGGCCUUCGGGGUGUAAACCGCUUUCGCCUGUGACGAAGCGUGAGUGACGGUAAUGGGUAAAGAAGCACCGGCUAACUACGUG